UACGUCAAAGCCCCCUCCAGGGGACCCUGCCCCCGGAACCUGAGCCUGAGGAGGACGAGGAGCCCAGUCAGCUGACCUUGCCAGGAUGGCCCCGCCAACCCCAGGCCGGCCCCACCAGCGAGCCAUGCAAACUCAGAAGCGGAUUCGCUAAAACCAAAGAGCCUGGCAGAGACCAAGAAGGCCAGUAUGGAGGCUGGGGGGAAGGAGGAAGAGAAUGCUCCUAACUCUAUCCUGGUUGCUAUUGUGAUGCUGUUGAAUAUCGGCCUAGCGAUCAUAUUUGUUCACUUCCUGACAUGAUGGUCCUGUUUCUCAGUGAUGCCAUGGCAACCGGUGCAGUUGCGUUGCCGGCCGGCUAAACAUCUAAAUGGCGGCAGUCAGACUCGGGUGGAGGCCGCAGGAGCUCGGGAAACAGCUGUGUGACAUAGGAGAGAAACAGGAGAGGCAGGAGAGAAGGUCCCGCAGCCUGUCCUGGGUCGUCCACAGCCUUGCCUGAUCAUAAUACUCUCCUCUGGAGCCUGUGAAAGAACAAACGGACAUGUCUGAGGGAGAUAGUAAAAACACUACAACAGAAAAUGUAAACACACACACACACACACACACACACACACACACACACACACACACACACACACACACACACACACACACACAGGACAAAAUUAAGUAAUUGAAACACACGUCUGCUGACCCAAGCAGUGAGCUCUAUGCUCUGCUCGUGCAUGGACACUCCUUCUGUCUGUCCUUCUGUCUGCCCUUCUGUCUGUCCUUCUGUUCUGUCUUUCUGUCUGUCCUUUUGUCUG
Non-coding RNA from Salvelinus sp. IW2-2015, 800 nucleotides. Lineage: Eukaryota; Metazoa; Chordata; Actinopteri; Salmoniformes; Salmonidae. The record is from RefSeq and is a predicted model, not a curated record.